GAUGAACGCUGGCGGCGUGCCUAAUACAUGCAAGUCGAGCGAACGGACGAGAAGCUUGCUUCUCUGAUGUUAGCGGCGGACGGGUGAGUAACACGUGGAUAACCUACCUAUAAGACUGGGAUAACUUCGGGAAACCGGAGCUAAUACCGGAUAAUAUUUUGAACCGCAUGGUUCAAAAGUGAAAGACGGUCUUGCUGUCACUUAUAGAUGGAUCCGCGCUGCAUUAGCUAGUUGGUAAGGUAACGGCUUACCAAGGCAACGAUGCAUAGCCGACCUGAGAGGGUGAUCGGCCACACUGGAACUGAGACACGGUCCAGACUCAUACGGGAGGCAGCAGUAGGGAAUCUUCCGCAAUGGGCGAAAGCCUGACGGAGCAACGCCGCGUGAGUGAUGAAGGUCUUCGGAUCGUAAAACUCUGUUAUUAGGGAAGAACAUAUGUGUAAGUAACUGUGCACAUCUUGACGGUACCUAAUCAGAAAGCCACGGCUAACUACG
Molecule: ribosomal RNA, 495 nt
Filed under: uncultured bacterium
Lineage: Bacteria
Description: partial 16S ribosomal RNA
Rfam family: Bacterial small subunit ribosomal RNA
Source: RNAcentral